CGGGGUGAGUAACGCGUGGGUAACCUGCCUUGCACUGGGGGAUAACACUUAGAAAUAGGUGCUAAUACCGCAUAAGCGCACAGCUUCGCAUGAAGUGGUGUGAAAAACUCUGGUGGUAUACGAUGGUUCCGCGUCUGAUUAGCUUGUUGGUGGGGUAAUGGCUCACCAAGGCGACGAUCAGUAGCCGGCCUGAGAGGGUGAACGGCCACAUUGGGACUGAGACACGGCCCAAACUCCUACGGAAGGCAGCAG
This 252-nucleotide ribosomal RNA is filed under the name uncultured bacterium. RNAcentral describes it as "partial 16S ribosomal RNA". It matches the Rfam family "Bacterial small subunit ribosomal RNA", at positions 100 to 354 of the family's 1533-position model. The record is from RNAcentral.